This 445-nucleotide long non-coding RNA is filed under the name Helianthus annuus (common sunflower). RNAcentral describes it as "hypothetical non coding rna". The record is from RNAcentral. Lineage: Eukaryota; Viridiplantae; Streptophyta; Magnoliopsida; Asterales; Asteraceae.
UCAACAUAGCGUUGAGACUCACAAACCGAAGGCAACCUUUGAUUAUUUUGAGGUGACAAGCUUAAAGAUCCCGGAAGGGUUGGAUGUCAAACUUAGAAUUUGCAUUUACCACAAACAUUGCUAAAGGUGACAAGCUUCAAGAUCCCGGAGGAUUGGAUGUGAAACUUUGUGAAGUAUUUAUGGUUUUGUAGGUGACAAGCUUAGAGAUCCCGGAAGGGUUGGAUGUCAAACUUAGAAUUUGCAUUUACCACAAACAUUGCUAAAGGUAUAUAUUAAAUGUUUUUAAAGUUACAAAAAUCAUAUGGAAACUUUAGUUAGAAUUUAGUUAUAUUGACCUUAUGAGUCAACUUAUACAUAUGGAUGUAGGAUGCCAUUAUUUAAUUUGUUCCUCUUUUUGGCUUCUAGUAAUGAAACUAAAAGAACGCAAGAAGUAUGAAUAGACUCU